UAGCGUAGUCAGCGCUAGUACUUCUUAGUGUGUACUCUACACCCUAGGAAGGCGAGGCAUGGACGCCGAGCCAACAUUCGCUGAGGCAGGAUGCCGAAUCGAAUGUUGUUCCGAACCUUUUAUUAAACUACGCGUACUCACUUAGAAGUACUCAGAUGCGUAGCGU
This is a regulatory RNA element of Anaerosporobacter mobilis DSM 15930, 166 nucleotides long. The record is from Rfam. NCBI's taxonomy places the organism in Bacteria, Bacillati, Bacillota, Clostridia, Lachnospirales, Lachnospiraceae.